UGCAGUCGAACGAUGAACCUCACUUGUGGGGGGAUUAGUGGCGAACGGGUGAGUAACACGUGAGUAACCUGCCCUUGACUCUGGGAUAAGCCUGGGAAACCGGGUCUAAUACUGGAUACGACCUUCUGGCGCAUGCCAUGUUGGUGGAAAGCUUUUGUGGUUUUGGAUGGACUCGCGGCCUAUCAGCUUGUUGGUGGGGUAAUGGCCUACCAAGGCGACGACGGGUAGCCGGCCUGAGAGGGUGACCGGCCACACUGGGACUGAGACACGGCCCAGACUCCUACGGGAGGCAGCAGUGGGGAAUAUUGCACAAUGGGCGCAAGCCUGAUGCAGCGACGCCGCGUGAGGGAUGAAGGCCUUCGGGUUGUAAACCUCUUUCAGUAGGGAAGAAGCUGGUCCUUCGGGGUUGGUGACGGUACCUGCAGAAGAAGCGCCGGCUAACUACGUGCCAGCAGCCGCGGUAAUACGUAGGGCGCAAGCGUUAUCCGGAAUUAUUGGGCGUAAAGAGCUCGUAGGCGGUUUGUCGCGUCUGCCGUGAAAGUCCGGGGCUUAACUCCGGAUCUGCGGUGGGUACGGGCAGACUAGAGUGCAGUAGGGGAGACUGGAAUUCCUGGUGUAGCGGUGAAAUGCGCAGAUAUCAGGAGGAACACCGAUGGCGAAGGCAGGUCUCUGGGCUGUAACUGACGCUGAGGAGCGAAAGCAUGGGGAGCGAACAGGAUUAGAUACCCUGGUAGUCCAUGCCGUAAACGUUGGGCACUAGGUGUG
RNAcentral lists this ribosomal RNA (765 nucleotides) under Arthrobacter sp. 6-22. RNAcentral's name for it is "bacterial SSU rRNA". It matches the Rfam family "Bacterial small subunit ribosomal RNA", at positions 56 to 824 of the family's 1533-position model. The record is from RNAcentral. Lineage: Bacteria; Bacillati; Actinomycetota; Actinomycetes; Micrococcales; Micrococcaceae.